RNAcentral lists this ribosomal RNA (483 nucleotides) under uncultured rumen protozoa. Its description in RNAcentral is "SSU rRNA". It matches the Rfam family "Eukaryotic small subunit ribosomal RNA", at positions 1270 to 1807 of the family's 1831-position model. The record is from RNAcentral.
AUGGGUGGUGGUGCAUGGCCGUUCUUAGUUGGUGGAGUGAUUUGUCUGGUUAAUUCCGAUAACGAACGAGACCUUAACCUGCUAACUAGAUUCUUCUAUUUUAUAGUUGAUAUCUUCUUAGAGGGACUAUGUAAUACAAAUACAUGGAAGUUUGAGGCAAUAACAGGUCAGUGAUGCCCUUAUAUGUCCUGGGCUGCACGCGUGCUACACUGAUGCAUACAACAAGUGCCUAGCCAGACAUGGUAUGGCAAUCUCGAAUAUGCAUCGUGAUGGGGAUAGAUCUUUGCAAUUAUAGAUCUUGAACGAGGAAUUCCUAGUAAGUGCAAGUCAUCAUCUUGCAUUGAUUAUGUCCCUGCCCUUUGUACACACCGCCCGUCGCUCCUACCGAUACCGGGUGAUCCGGUGAACCUUUUGGACUCAUUUGGGAAAGAUAAGUAAACCAUAUCACCUAGAGGAAGGAGAAGUCGUAACAAGGUAGCCGUA